Pelobates cultripes (western spadefoot toad) is the source of this 1255-nucleotide non-coding RNA. NCBI's taxonomy places the organism in Eukaryota, Metazoa, Chordata, Amphibia, Anura, Pelobatidae. The record is from the annotation of a GenBank genome assembly.
CCAUGUAAACAUUCACAGUGCAGGUGGAAAAAGUAUGUGAACCCCUAGACUAAUGACAUCUCCAAGAGCUAAUUGGAGUGAGAUGUCAGCCAACUGGAGUCCAAUCAAUGAGAUGAGAUUGGAGGUGUUGGUUACAGCUGCCCUGCCCUAUAAAAAACACACACCAGUUCUGGGUUUGCUUUUCACAAGAAGCUUUGCCUGAUGUGAAUGAUGCCUCACACAAAAGAGCUCUCAGAAGACCUACGAUUAAGAAUUGUUGACCUGCAUAAAGCUGGAAAGUAUUAUAAAAGUAUCUCUAAAAGCCUUGCUGUUCCUCAGUCCACGGUAAGACAAAUUGUCUAUAAAUGAAGAAAGUUCAGCACUGCUUCUACUCUCCCUAGGAGUGGCCGUCCUGUAAAGAUGACUGCAAGAGCACAGCGCAGACUGCUCAAUGAGGUGAAGAAGAAUCCUAAUGUCAGCUUAAGACUUACAAAAGUCACUGGCAAAUGCUAACAUCUAUGUAAGCGAAUCUACAAUACGUAAAACACUAAUGGAUUUCAUGGGAGGAUACCACAGAGGAAGCCACUGCUGUCCAAACAAAACAUUGCUGCACGUUUACAGUUUGCACAAGAGCACCUGGAUGUUCCACAGCAGUACUGGCAAAAUAUUUUGUGAACAGAUGAAACCAAAGUUGAGUUGUUUGGAAGAAACACACAGCACUAUGUGUGGAGAAAAAAAAGCCUCAUCCCAACUGUGAAGUAUGGUGGUUGGGGCUGCUUUGCUGUGUCAGGGCCUGGAUGUAUUGCUAUCAUCGAAGGAAAAAUGAAUUCCCAAGUUUAUCAAGAUUUAAUUUUAAAUUUAAUAAAAAUCAUUUUGCAGGAGAACUUAGGGCAUCUGUCUACCAGCUGAAGCUCAACAGAAGAUGGGUGUUGCAACGGUACAAUGACCGAAAGCAUAGAAGUAAAUCAACAACAGAAUGGCUUAAACAGAAGAAAAUACGCCUUCUGAAGUGGCCCAGUCAGAGUCCUGACCUCAACCCGAUUGAGAUGCUGUGGCAUGACCUCAAGAAAGUGAUUCACACCAGACAUCCCAAGAAUAUUGCUGAACUGAAACAGUUCUGUAAAGAGGAAUGGUCAAGAAUUACUCCUGACCGUUGUGCACAUCUGAUCUGCAACUACAGGAAACGUUUGGUUUAAGUUAUUGCUGCCAAAGUAGGUUCAACCAGUUAUUAAAUCCAAGGGUUCACAUACUUUUUCCACCUGCACUGUGAAUGUUU